RNAcentral lists this ribosomal RNA (775 nucleotides) under uncultured Neocallimastigales. RNAcentral's name for it is "partial large subunit ribosomal RNA". It matches the Rfam family "Eukaryotic large subunit ribosomal RNA", at positions 18 to 644 of the family's 3401-position model. Lineage: Eukaryota; Fungi; Neocallimastigomycota; Neocallimastigomycetes; Neocallimastigales. The record is from RNAcentral.
UCAGACGAUGCGUCAUGCAUAUCAAUAAGCGGAGGAAAAGAAACUAACAAGGAUUCCCUCAGUAACGGCGAGUGAAGCGGGAAGAGCUCAAAUUUGAAAUCUUGAAAGGUCACCUUUCACGAAUUGUAGUUUAAAGAAGUGUUUUCUGUUACGAUCGUAAUAUAAGUUCUUUGGAAUAGGACAUCACAGAGGGUGAGAAUCCCGUCUAUGAUUGCGAUUUGUAGCUUUGUGAUACACUUUCAAAGAGUCGGGAUUGUUUGGGAAUGCAGUCCAAAAUGGGUGGUAAAUUUCAUCUAGAGCUAAAUAUUGGCGAGAGACCGAUAGCGAACAAGUACCGUGAGGGAAAGAUGAAAAGAACUUUGAAAAGAGAGUUAAACAGUACGUGAAAUUGUCAAAAGGGAAGCGUUUGACACCAGUGUUGUUUUCUCGAAAAUCAAUUAAAAAUGGCUCGAUUUUGUAUUGCUGAGACCUUAAAAGCUCACUGUACAUUUUUCGUGUCUUUUUUAAUGCACUUUUCGUUUAACAAGUCAACAUCAGUUUCUUUUGUUGUAAAAGGGUCAUUGGAAGGUGGCUUUCUUUUCGGAGAAAGUGUUUAUAGCCUUUGGCCUCUGCAAUCGGAGAGACUGAGGUCUGCAGCGUAGACUCUUCGGGGUUAGAUACAUUUGUGCUAAGUUAUAGCUUUUUAUAGACAACUUGUUGACUAUAAUUAGUCUUGUGGCUUACUCGCUUAUGCUAUUUUACCUACGCUUAGGAUGUUGACUGAUAUGUAGUCGUA